This 479-nucleotide ribosomal RNA is filed under the name uncultured bacterium. RNAcentral's name for it is "bacterial SSU rRNA". It matches the Rfam family "Bacterial small subunit ribosomal RNA", at positions 37 to 507 of the family's 1533-position model. The record is from RNAcentral.
UGGCGGCGUGCCUAAUACAUGCAAGUCGAGCGGUAACAUUUCUAGCUUGCUAGAAGAUGACGAGCGGCGGACGGGUGAGUAACGCGUAGAAAUCUACCUAGUAGUGGGGGAUAGCCCAGAGAAAUUUGGAUUAAUACCGCAUACGCCCUACGGGGGAAAGCGGGGGAUCUUCGGACCUCGUGCUAUUAGAUGAGUCUGCGUCGGAUUAGCUUGUUGGUGAGGUAAUGGCUCACCAAGGCGACGAUCCGUAGCUGGUCUGAGAGGAUGACCAGCCACACUGGAACUGAGACACGGUCCAGACUCCUACGGGAGGCAGCAGUGGGGAAUAUUGCACAAUGGGCGCAAGCCUGAUGCAGCCAUGCCGCGUGUGUGAAGAAGGCCUUAGGGUUGUAAAGCACUUUCAGCAGUGAGGAAAGGGGUGUCGUUAAUAGCGCCAUCCUGUGACGUUAACUGCAGAAGAAGGACCGGCUAACUCCUUG